AUCGGUGUUUGUGAUGACUAAUCUUUUUUCCCCAGCAGAUCGACACUGUUGAUUGCAUGACUUUAAAAGCCAAACCUGUCUGAUUACACCAUU
Small nucleolar RNA from Anguilla rostrata (American eel), 93 nucleotides. RefSeq annotates it as small nucleolar SNORD12/SNORD106. Lineage: Eukaryota; Metazoa; Chordata; Actinopteri; Anguilliformes; Anguillidae. The transcript has a single exon. The record is from RefSeq and is a predicted model, not a curated record.